GAUGAAGAACGCAGUGAAAUGCGAUAAGUAAUGUGAAUUGCAGAAUUCAGUGAAUCAUCGAAUCUUUGAACGCAUCUUGCGCUCCUUGGUAUUCCGAGGAGCAUGCCUGUUUGAGUGUCAUUUUAACUUCUCAACCAUAUCGAAUUGUUUUUCGAGGUGGCUUGGACAUGGGGGUUUUUGCAGGCUUUAAUAAUGAAGUCGGCUCCUCUGAAAUGCAUUAGUGGUAUCUGAAGCAGAACUGCUACUAUUAGGUGUGAUAAUUAUCUAUGCCUCUUGGUAUACUGCAUGAACAGAUUGCGCUGCUUCCAACUUGUACACCCUUUGGUGUUUGACAAAUUUGACCUCAAAUCAGGUAGGACUACCCGCUGAACUUAAGCAUAUCAAUAAGCGGAGGA
Molecule: unclassified non-coding RNA, 395 nt
Filed under: soil metagenome
Description: partial contains 5.8S ribosomal RNA, internal transcribed spacer 2, and large subunit ribosomal RNA
Rfam family: 5.8S ribosomal RNA (bases 1-120)
Source: RNAcentral